This 316-nucleotide ribosomal RNA is filed under the name Entamoeba histolytica. RNAcentral's name for it is "partial small subunit ribosomal RNA". It matches the Rfam family "Eukaryotic small subunit ribosomal RNA", at positions 577 to 913 of the family's 1831-position model. The record is from RNAcentral. Lineage: Eukaryota; Evosea; Mastigamoebida; Endamoebidae.
CGGUAAUUCCAGCUCCAAUAGUGUAUAUUAAAGUUUCUGUGAUUAAAACGCUCGUAGUUGAAUUAAAAUGUGAUUUUAUACAUUUUGAAGACUUUGCAUAAGUAAAGUUUCUAGAAAUGUUAAAUUAAAAUCAAAGAAGGAAACAAUUCAAGUAAUUGAGUUGUUAUUACUUUCAAUAAAAUAAGGUGUUUAAAGCAAAACAUUAUGUUAAUGAAUAUUCAAGCAUGGGACAAUGCUGAGGGGAUGUCAAUAAGACAUUUCGAGAGAAGGAUUAAAAGGAACAAUUGGGGUGAUUCAGAAAAUAACGGGAGAGGUG